AACGAACGCUGGCGGCACGCCUAACACAUGCAAGUCGAACGAGAUCUUCGGAUCUAGUGGCGGACGGGUUAGUAACGCGUGGGAACGUACCCUUCACUACGGAAUAGUCCCGGGAAACUGGGUUUAAUACCGUAUACGCCCUUCGGGGGAAAGAAUUUCGGUGAGGGAUCGGCCCGCGUUAGAUUAGUUAGUUGGUGGGGUAAUGGCCUACCAAGACUACGAUCUAUAGCUGGUUUGAGAGGAUGAUCAGCAACACUGGGACUGAGACACGGCCCAGACUCCUACGGGAGGCAGCAGUGGGGAAUCUUAGACAAUGGGGGCAACCCUGAUCUAGCGAUGCCGCGUGAGUGAUGAAGGCCUUAGGGUCGUAAAGCUCUUUCGCCUGUGAUGAUAAU
Molecule: ribosomal RNA, 395 nt
Filed under: Celeribacter halophilus
Lineage: Bacteria; Pseudomonadati; Pseudomonadota; Alphaproteobacteria; Rhodobacterales; Roseobacteraceae
Description: bacterial SSU rRNA
Rfam family: Bacterial small subunit ribosomal RNA
Source: RNAcentral